UUCUUCCUCCUCUUCUUCCUUCUUUCUUCUUUCUUCUUCUUUCUUCUUCUUUCUUCUUCUCCUUCUCCUUCUCCUUCUCCUUCUCCUUCUCCUUCUCCUUCUCCUUCUCCUUCUCCUUCUCCUUCUCCUUCUCCUUCUCCUUCUCCUUCUCCUUCUCCUUCUCCUUCUCCUUCUUCUUCUUCUUCUUCUUCUUCUUCUUCUUCUUCUUCUUCUUCUUCUUCUUCUUCUUCUUCUUCUUCUUCUUCUUCUUCUUCUUCUUCUUCUUCUUCUUCUUCUUCUUCUCUCUCUCUCUCCCUCUCCCUCCCCUUCCCUUCCUCUCCUCUUUUUCCCUCUCCCUCCCUGUCCCCCCCCUCAUCUUUUAUCCCUGGAUUCAGAUUUUGGGUCCUUUAUUCAAAUGAUCCCCACUUAAAUUUAUUAACAAUCAAAUUUUCAUUUUUUGUCUAUGAUCAGAGUAAAUUACAUUCAUCUUAUAUCAUAGAACAGUUGUUCUGGUGUCUGUAUUGCUUUGGUAUACUAUAACUAUUCAUAUUUUAAAAGAGCAAUCAUGGAACUUUGAAUUAGAGUAUACUUUAGUACCUAUUUCCAAGCAAAUCUGUCACUCAGAUGUGUGAUCUGUGAAAAGACUUAAUUCAGUGAUAAUCUGUUCCACAUGAAAGGACAAUACCUUAAAGGAGCAUUAAUUUACACUUAUCAGUAUAUGCAUUUAUAAAUGUAAUUGUCCAUUAAACC
RNAcentral lists this long non-coding RNA (729 nucleotides) under Monodelphis domestica (gray short-tailed opossum). RNAcentral's name for it is "lncRNA (ENSMODG00000043561.1)". Lineage: Eukaryota; Metazoa; Chordata; Mammalia; Didelphimorphia; Didelphidae. The record is from RNAcentral.